This is a non-coding RNA of Oryza meridionalis, 207 nucleotides long. Lineage: Eukaryota; Viridiplantae; Streptophyta; Magnoliopsida; Poales; Poaceae. The record is from Rfam.
AAUAAGCGUAGCUAUGAGUUUCCGUCCCCAAUUUUGAUUGUCCGUCUUAUUUAAUAUUUUUUUAUAAUUAGUAUUUUUAUUGUUAUUAGAUUAUAAAACAUAAAUAAUAUUUUAUGUGUGACUUAUGUUUUUUUUAGUUUUUUCAAAAAAAAAUCAAAUAGGAUGAAUGAUUGAAGUUGGGUACGGAAACUAAUGGCUGCGCUUAUU